This 221-nucleotide unclassified non-coding RNA is filed under the name Hevea brasiliensis (rubber tree). The record is from RNAcentral. Lineage: Eukaryota; Viridiplantae; Streptophyta; Magnoliopsida; Malpighiales; Euphorbiaceae.
AAAAAAGAAGCAUGUUUCAGAGGUAAAUAAAGAUGGAAAUAACGUUAAUCAAAUUUGAUAUUAUCAUCAGAAUUUGCAACAAAAUGGAAAUUGCAAAAAAGAAAACAAACCAAUCCAAGAAAAAAAUGGAAAUAUAACAAUUGCAUUGAAGUUCCAGGCCACCAUAUCAGAAUUCCAAUAAAAAUUACUCGAAAAGAAAACCCUGAACCUAUAGAUCUUCA